UUGGAGGGCAAGUCUGGUGCCAGCAGCCGCGGUAAUUCCAGCUCCAAUAGCGUAUAUUAAAGUUGUUGUGGUUAAAAAGCUCGUAGUUGAACCUUGGGCCUGGCUGGCCGGUCCGCCUCACCGCGUGUACUGGUCCGGCCGGGCCUUUCCCUCUGUGGAACCCCAUGCCCUUCACUGGGUGUGGCGGGGAAACAGGACUUUUACUGUGAAAAAAUUAGAGUGCUCCAGGCAGGCCUAUGCUCGAAUACAUUAGCAUGGAAUAAUAGAAUAGGACGUGUGGUUCUAUUUUGUUGGUUUCUAGGACCGCCGUAAUGAUUAAUAGGGACAGUCGGGGGCAUCAGUAUUCAAUUGUCAGAGGUGAAAUUCUUGGAUUUAUUGAAGACUAACUACUGCGAAAGCAUUUGCCAAGGAUGUUUUCAUUAAUCAGGAACGAAAGUUAGGGGAUCGAAGACGAUCAGAUACCGUCGUAGUCUUAACCAUAAACUAUGCCGACUAGGGAUCGGAUGGUGUUAUUUUUUGACCCGUUCGGCGCCUUACGGGAAA
Molecule: ribosomal RNA, 543 nt
Filed under: uncultured Ascomycota
Lineage: Eukaryota; Fungi; Ascomycota
Description: SSU rRNA
Rfam family: Eukaryotic small subunit ribosomal RNA
Source: RNAcentral